This is a long non-coding RNA of Lolium rigidum, 522 nucleotides long. RefSeq lists it as uncharacterized. The transcript is spliced from 2 exons. NCBI's taxonomy places the organism in Eukaryota, Viridiplantae, Streptophyta, Magnoliopsida, Poales, Poaceae. The record is from RefSeq and is a predicted model, not a curated record.
AGUAACCACUUAAUAGCUGCACAAUGCGCUCCAACUAUGCUUUGGUUGAAAAGCAUCUACUAAGCCACCCUUCCAAAAUGCAUUAAGUUCUUUGUGAAACUGACGGUGAUGGAACUUAAAAAAUCACAGACUUUAUAAUUCACAAAGGUAUGUACACAUUUACCGCAGAAAUGUUCUCAUUUUUAUAUUAUUCAUGAUGCCAUAGGUUUUAAUAUCUCUUUUUUCAUUUCCUCUACGUUGAGCAAUGAAUGCCGGUCAUGUGAUUUUGGCUGCUACCUACUCCCUGCCCCAUUGUGAAACUACGGACAUGGCUUAAAUAAUUAGAUUUCCUAACAUACCUCAAUUAUGCGUGCAAUUAAGUCUGCAGUGUAGCAUUUUUAAUAUCUUCAUAUUGUCUGUAGUGACCGCAGUUAGUCUUCGCCAGCUGCUGGCUUCAAUUUCUCCUAAAUCUGUAUGUUCUGAUAUAAAGAUUAAUGAACCUGCUCAUGUGAUAGCUCACGUGUGAAGGGAAGUGUCCGUCUA